This 95-nucleotide transfer RNA is filed under the name Bacillota bacterium. Its description in RNAcentral is "Firmicutes bacterium (sediment metagenome) tRNA-Sec". It matches the Rfam family "Selenocysteine transfer RNA". The record is from RNAcentral. Lineage: Bacteria; Bacillati; Bacillota.
GGAGGGGGAUGGGGCCUGGUGGUCCUCCCAGUCUUCAAAACUGGUGACGGGCCUGGAGGGUCCGUGGUGGGUUCGAUUCCCACACCCCUCCGCCA